RNAcentral lists this transfer RNA (114 nucleotides) under Heterodermia speciosa. It matches the Rfam family "tRNA". From Rfam's summary of the family: Transfer RNA (tRNA) molecules are approximately 80 nucleotides in length. Their secondary structure includes four short double-helical elements and three loops (D, anti-codon, and T loops). Lineage: Eukaryota; Fungi; Ascomycota; Lecanoromycetes; Caliciales; Physciaceae. The record is from Rfam by way of RNAcentral.
GGACAGAUGGCCGAGCGGUCUAAGGCGUGCGACUCAAGCCCCCAAAGUUUGAACUGCCCAGCAGUUUGUUUUCGCAUAUCGUAAGAUGCGAGGGUUCGAAUCCCUCUCUGUUCA